ACGCUCGACACCUACGGGAGCAGCAGUGGGGAAUAUUGCACAAUGGGGGAAACCCUGAUGCAGCAACGCCGCGUGAAGGAAGACGGUUUUCGGAUUGUAAACUUCUGUUCUUAGUGAAGAUAGUGACGGUAGCUAAGGAGCAAGCCACGGCUAACUACGUGCCAANGCGCGUAGUACUGAGCGGCGNGNGAG
This 192-nucleotide ribosomal RNA is filed under the name uncultured bacterium. Its description in RNAcentral is "partial 16S ribosomal RNA". It matches the Rfam family "Bacterial small subunit ribosomal RNA", at positions 328 to 540 of the family's 1533-position model. The record is from RNAcentral.